UUCAAAACAUGGGAUUUUUUUUUUUUUAAAGAUAUGCCUUUGCUUCUGCUUCUUUGUUCACCUGGAAGGACCUUUUUUUCUAUCCAUCUCUAGGCCCUCUAUUCUAAAGGGGGCUCAGUUAAAGCCCCCCCCCAAAGACAUCUUUGGUAUCUCUUGUUAUGUACAUAAUUGCUUCAUCUUUUGCAAGUCAGUAGCAACUUUUUCCAUUAAAACUUUUUUUUUAUAUAUUUAGUCAGAGUAAAAUACACAUAUUUUACCAACUUAGACAUUUUUUUUAAUUUUUAAUUUUUUAUAAACAUAUUUUUAUCCCCAGGGGUACAGGUCUGUGAAUCACCAGGUUUACAGGUUUAGACAUUUUUUUUAAGAGUACACUUCAAAAGCGUUAAGUGUUUUCACAUUGUUGCACAGUCUCCAGAACUUCUUUUUUUUUUUUUCCAGAACUUUUUCAUCUUGCAAAACUGAAACUCUGUGCCCAUUAAGCAACACCUCGCUAUUCUACCGGCAACCACCAUCUACUUUCUGUCUUGAUGAAUCUAACUACUUUAGGGACCUCCUAUAAGUGAAAUCAUACAGUACUUAUCUUUUUGUAAUUGGCAUACUUCACUUACAAUAAUGUCCUCAAGUUAUUACAUAAAUCAGAAUUUUCUUCUUCUUUUUUUUUUUUUUUUUUAAAGUAGGCUCCACACCAAGCAUGGAGCCCAAUGCAAGGCUUGAACUCAUAACCCUGAGAUGAAGACCUGAAGUGAAAUCAAGAAUUGGACACUCAACUGACUGAGCCACCCAGGCACUCUGGAGUUUCCUUCCUUUUUAAGGAAUACUAACUUGAUUCUGUUUUUCAAAAGGGAAUGUAUAACAUGCAGUCUUAUUUUUAAGUGACAUAUGCACAUUAUAUCUCUUCUAUAGAAUUUUAGAUCUUUUGAGGACAGGGUCUGAGUCUCCACACAGUUGAGUCCCACUGUACCUAUCGGCUCUGUGCUUGGCAGCGAAUCUGUGCUAACUGAAUGUUUGUUGAGAAGAUCAAAGGACAAAUGUUGACAUAUUGCCUUAGGUGGGCUCUUCUAGACCUCCUGGUUUUUCCAUAACCACACCCCCCAAAAGACUCAACAAUUGUUUAAACCAAUCCACAUCAUCAAGUUGAGGGGAGCAGAAACGGAUUGGCAUCAGCCAUUUUGAGAUGAUCUUACCCCACAGCCUUGAAUCAGUCCUGUGUUUUCUCCUGGCUUGAGUCUUCUACUUCCUUCUGGGAGACAUCUCCUUUGGGACAGGAAAUUGUGUCCAAUCUUAAAAGAACAGAAAGAUGGCAUAAGAAGGAGUAAGGAGAGCAGGGGAUGGGGUUUAAAUAAGAAUAGAAGCUGAUAAUUAGAUUGAGAUUUUCCAUCCUGUUUGCUCUCUCAUUGUGUUAUCACUUUUAAUAUGUAUCUUCUGAUAAAGAUGGGGUGGUAACGGGGGGCAGGGGGCUAUGGAGGUCUUGUUAUUACUCAUACUAAACAUUUUUUCCCACCCUUUGCCCCAGGUUGUCCC
RNAcentral lists this long non-coding RNA (1521 nucleotides) under Mustela putorius furo (domestic ferret). RNAcentral's name for it is "lncRNA (ENSMPUG00000029241.1)". The record is from RNAcentral. Lineage: Eukaryota; Metazoa; Chordata; Mammalia; Carnivora; Mustelidae.